UACAGAGGCCCCGAGCGUUAGGCGGAAUCACUGGGCUUAAAGCGUGUGUAGGUGGAUGUCUAAGUGCCUUGUGAAAUCCCACGGCUUAACCGUGGAAUGGCUGGGCAUACUGGGCGUCUUGAGCCACUCAGGGGCUACCGGAACAAAUGGUGGAGCGGUGAAAUGCGUAGAUAUCAUUUGGAACGCCAAUGGUGAAAACAGGUAGCUGGGGGUGUGCUGACACUGAGACACGAAAGCCAGGGGAGCAAACGGG
RNAcentral lists this ribosomal RNA (253 nucleotides) under uncultured bacterium. Its description in RNAcentral is "partial 16S ribosomal RNA". It matches the Rfam family "Bacterial small subunit ribosomal RNA", at positions 524 to 776 of the family's 1533-position model. The record is from RNAcentral.